RNAcentral lists this long non-coding RNA (257 nucleotides) under Lathyrus oleraceus (garden pea). RNAcentral's name for it is "Pisum sativum (pea) long non-coding RNA (PSAT_LNC041894)". The record is from RNAcentral. Lineage: Eukaryota; Viridiplantae; Streptophyta; Magnoliopsida; Fabales; Fabaceae.
UCGGCGGCGAGAGAGUUGUAGUGUUGGUAGCCGGAAAUUUGGAGAUCUGUCGGUGAAGGACGCUUGUUGAACGAUGUUGGUUGUGGCUGCUGGCGAAGGUGGUUGCGCCGGUUAGUGGUGAAAUGUGGAAGAUGAGUCGAGUAGGUGGGGUUGUGACCUUUGAGAGCAGUGGAGAUUUUUUUCUUUCCUUUUUUUCUUCUAUUUUUCUAUUCUUUUCAUCAGCCAGAGAGAGAGAUCGUGGAAAAUCUCCUUUUUUU